This 3928-nucleotide long non-coding RNA is filed under the name Papio anubis (olive baboon). RNAcentral's name for it is "lncRNA (ENSPANG00000039231.1)". Lineage: Eukaryota; Metazoa; Chordata; Mammalia; Primates; Cercopithecidae. The record is from RNAcentral.
AUGACCACUGCCCGAGCGCCAACCCCAGACAGGCAGAUGCUGGAGAUUUUACUCUUCAGUGUGGGGGUUAAAACUUACUAUCUAGUGGUGGUUUCAUGUCUGUCAUUGAGAAAUGCCUUUAUUAUGGCAAAAAUCCAGGUAUUUCCAACUCACCAGGAAGAAGACAAAAUAAGCAAAUGUAUCUUGGUAGAUGUUUACUCUUUGAAUGUCAAUAAGAAUUUCACUCUGAACGACAGCAGGUUUCCAUGGUCCUCAGAGAGGCAGCAGACAGCUGGGUCAGAAGCCGUGCUAACAAGUGAACCCAAGAUGUCAGCCCAGGUCUGUGGUUCGGGGACAACUCCUUACUCAUCUGAUGAAUGGGAUGAACGGUGUCAGAGGAGGAGUUAACCCCGCAGCCAAAUUCUAAUAAACAACGGGCUCAAGACCCUUGUCGACAAGCUCAGCCCAGACUCCAAAGUUUCACUGGAAGCGUCUCCCACAGAAAUGGCCUUCUCCGUGUUGAAUACGACCCUACUGCUACAGCUUGGUGCUGUCCAAGAUCCGGGGAGAGAAAGAUGAACCUUUCAGCUCUUGGCUCAGCCAUUCCACAGACUAUUAAUAUUGCAAAAGGAAAAGACUGAGGCUACGGCGGGGCGGCCUCUGAAAGUUCAUUUCUGCCCACACGUAUCUGCCUUGAGUGUUCUAAGGCACUUACUCAUUCAUUUGUUCGUUUGCUCGCUUGUCCGUCAAACGUCUGAGUGCUGACUGUGCGCCAGGAGUUGAAAUAGGCCCCAGGGCAGAAAUGUGAACUGUAGUCAGUUGAAUAGGAAUUGGAGGGCUAGACUCAAAGUCUCGUGUGGGAGACAGAGGUGAGCACAGAGAGUUCCGUAUUAAGGUUACCCAUCAGGGCACCAGGCACAGGAGCAGAGGACAGAGGAGGCCCCUUGCUUCGGGAAGCAGGGAAUCCAUCACCCAGCAAAGCAGAGGCAGAGGGCGGAGACGGUGCCAGCCAGAGGGCAGGUAAGGCACCAAUGCGAGUGCUGCCCUGUGGCAGCAUGGGGUUCCAGCUACUGGGGAGACUUGAGUCCGGGAGUUUGAGGCCAGGUUGGGCAACAUGGUGAGACCCUGUCUCUUAAAAAAAAAAAAAAAAAAAAAAAUUGAAAAGAAGUAGUCAAUGUAUGUGUUGGUGCAGGAGGAGGAGUCCGGAAUGGGCCUAAACCGAGCAUGAAGGAACCCGGCCCUCCAGGUAGGACUCGCCCUGGACUCUCAGGCUACACACGGAGCCACUGAAUGAUCUGAGGAGGGGAAUGGGACGUUGAAGAAGGGGAAGUUGGGGGACUUGGGGGCGGUGGAGUCAGGGCUUCUCCCCUCUCCAGGAGGCUGACCUCUUGUCAGUGGGAAAGAUGAAACCGCCUGAGGCCAUGCCAUAUAGGGAGGGUACGGGAUGGGUGCGCACUCUCUCUGGGAGUGCAAACCGGCACAGCUUUCGGGUUGGAAAUUUGGCAUUAUCUGUUAAAUUUAAAAAUAAUAUUCCUACCUUUCCCUAAGCAAUUUCUGGAAGGAAAUUCUUGUGAAAUUUGCACAACCCUGCAAAAUACACAAAAGGAAGUUUACUAUAGCAUUUUUUUUAGAUGGAGUCUCGCUGUGUCACCCAGGCUGGCGUGCAGUAGCCCAGUCUUGCCUUACAGCAAUCUCUGCCUCCCAGGUUCAAGCGAUUCUCCUGCCUCAGUCUCUCUAGUAGCUGGGACUACAGGCGUGCGCAACCAUGCCAAGCUAAGUUUUGUAUUUUCAGUGGAGACGGGUUUUCACCACAUUGGCCAGGCUGGUCUUGAACUCCUGACCUCAGGUGAUCUGCCCGCCUUGGCCUCCCAAAGUGCUGGGAUUAUAGGCAUGAGCCACUGCGCCUGGCCUACUAUAGCGUUUUGUAAUAGUACAAAAAAUUUUUAUGUUUUUAAAAGAAAACAAUCAAAUAUUCACCGUUACUGGAUUGGUUACCUAAGUCACACCCAUAAAGCCACUGAAAAGAGUGAGGGAUCCAGACUUUCGGACUCCAGUGUGCAAGCGAAUCAUCCAGGGAGGCUUUGAGAAUGUAGACUCUGCCUCAGGGUCUGGGGAGGGCCUGAGGGGCUGCACUUCUCAUAGCCUGCAGGUGCACGGCUGCUGCUACCCUGGGGCCCCUGCGCCAGGUAGCCAGGACCCAGAUGACCAAAAGCAAGCGGGAACAUGAGAAACAGUAUAUCCUAUUUUGGUUUAAAAAACCAUAAUGCAAGUUAAUAUACACAUCACAUAUACAGAAAGAUAUGCAUUUCUGGAAGAAAGAGCUUACGGUGGACUUUUCCCUCUAAGUUUUAUAUACAUAAUUGUAACAUUUCAAUUUUUAUAAUAAUCAUGAAUUAUCUUUGCAACCAGAAAAAAAAUUCAAUAUGUUAAGGUAAUCGACCAAUAUAUUGAUGCAUUAAAACAAAAAAAAAUAGGCCGGGCGCGGUGGCUCAAGCCUAUAAUCCCAGCACUUUGGGAGGCCGAGACGGGCGGAUCACAAGGUCAGGAGAUCGAGACCAUCCUGGCUAACAUGGUGAAACCCCGUCUCUACUAAAAAUAUAAAAAACUAGCCGGGAGAGGUGGCGGGCGCCUGUAGUCCCAGCUACUCGGGAGGCUGAGGCAGGAGAAUGGCGUGAACCCGGGAGGUGGAGCUUGCAGUGAGCCGAGAUCCGGCCACUGCACUCCAGCCUGGGCCACAGAGCGAGACUCCAUCUCAAAAAAAAAAAAAAAAAAGUUGUGAACCUGAGUUAAAAGUUACAUUUCAUUAUUAUUAUUAUUAUUUUGAGAAAGAAUCUCACUCUGUCGCCCAGGCUGGAGUGCAGUGGCGCGAUAGAUCUCCAUCUUCCAGGUUCAAGCAAUUCUCCCGCCUCAGGCUCCCCUGUAGCUGGGAUUACAGGCAUGCGCCACCAAGCCCAGCUACUUUGUGUAUUUUUAGUAGAGACAGGGUUUCACCAUGUUGGCCAGGCAGUCUCAAACUCCUGACCUCAGGUGAUUCACCCGUCUCGGCCUCCCAAAUUGCUGGGAUUACAGGCGUGAGCCACCACACCUUGCCACAAGUUAUACUUUAAAUUGUGUAUCAUAUUACUUUUAAUAGAUCAUUUGGGCUUUUUUUUGUUUGUUUGUUUUUUUUUUUUGAGACAGGGUCUCACUCUGUUGCCCAGGCUGGAGUGCAGUGGCACGAUCUCGGCUCACUGCAACUUUUGCCUUCUGGGCUCAAGCAAUCCUCCCACCUCAGUCUCUCCAGUAGCUGGGACCACAUGCAUGUGCCACCAUACCUGGUUAAUUUUUGUAUUUUGUUUUAGAUAUGGGGUUUUGCCAAUGUUGCCGAGGCUGGUCUUGAACUCCUGGGCUCAAGUCAUCCUCUUGCCUCAGCCUCCCAAAGUGCUGGGAUUACAGGCAUGAGCCACCAAGCCCGGCCUGGGCUAUUAUUAUUAUUAUUUUUUUUUUUUUUUGAGACAGAGUCUCACUUUGUUGACCAGGCUGGAGUGCAGUGGCCGGAUCUCAGCUCACUGCAAGCUCCGCCUCCCAGGUUUACGCCAUCCUCCUGCCUCAGCCUCCCGAGUAGCUGGGACUACAGGCGCCGCCACCACGCCCGGCUGGUUUUUUGUAUUGUUUUUAGUAGAGACGGGGUUUCACCGUGUUAGCCAGGAUGGUCUCGAUCUCCUGACCUCGUGAUCCGCCCGUCUCAGCCUCCCAAAGUGCUGGGAUUACAGGCGUGAGCCGCCGCGCCUGGCGCUGUUAUUUUUAAAGAGCUGUUCUAAUCAGAGCCCCAAGUAGCCACUUCUUUCCAGGCUGGGGGAAGUUCUCAGAUACAACAGCUUUCUGCCCGCCCACCUGGACUGCAAGGUCCUGCAAGCUGCAGGGUGGCCUGCUGAAAAGGCAAAGCCGUUACUGUCCCUCUCUCACCCUC